UUGUUUCCGUGCUUCUUCAUACCGUGGGCUCUUGUUCGAAGAUCCCUGUCCAUAUAUUAUACUCCAGAGGCAUUGUUAAAUCAUGUUUUUGAGGACCUUCGGAAGCCGAAAGCUGAAAGGGAAAUGUGUCCUUGGGCCAUUUCUAAGUAUUUUGGUGAUUUAGUGUCCAAUACAAGUGCUUAAGUGUAAAAUGGUGGACAAAGUACAAAUCAAGAAUAAAGGUAUGUUUCUCAGACUUAGUAUAUUGUUUAUGGACUAAUAUAUUGUGUCUAAGUGCUGGAAACAGAAAAAAUCGAAUUGGAAUUGUCUUGGCUCGAGCAGCCAAGACUCUGCUGAGUCUGGGAGCACCGGACUGUCCGGUGGUGCACCAGACAGUGUCCGGUGGUGCAUCGGACAGUGUCCGGUGCGCCAGGCUGGCUCGAGCGAAGUGGCCGCUCUCGGGAAUUCGCCGACGACGUACGACUAUAAUUCACCGGACUGUCUGGUGUGCACCGGACUGUCCGGUGAGCCAACGGUCGGCCGGGCCAACGGUAGGCCGCGAGAUCUACGCGGGACACGUGGCCGAGCCAACGGCUAGAAUGGGGCACCGGACUGUCCGGUGUGCACCGGACAUGUCCGGUGCGCCAACGGCUCUCUGGCGGCCAACGGUCGGCUGCGCCGUUCAAGGAAAGAAAUUGGGCACCGGACAGUGUCCGGUGUGCACCGGACUGUCCGGUGCACCAGUCGACAGAAGGCAAGAUCAGCCUUCCAGAUUUGCUCUCAAUGGCUCCUAGCUGCCUUGGGGCUAUAAAAGGGACCCCUAGGCGCAUGGAGGAGUAUAUCAAGCAUUCCUACAACAUUCCUAAGCACCAAGACAUCGAUUCCACGCAUUUGGUUCAUUGUGAUAGCAUCUAGAGCUCUUGUUGAGUUGUGAACUCAUUGAGUGGUGUUACGAGCUCUUGUUGCGACUUGUGUGCGUGCUGUUGCUCUGAUUUUGAGUCUUGUGUGCGUUGCUAGUUUCUCCCUUACUCCGUAUUUCUUUGUGAAUCUUAAGUGUAAGGGCGAGAGGCUCCAAGUUGUGGAGAUUCCUCGCAAAUGGGAUAUUGAAAGGCAAAGCAAAACACCGUGGUAUUCAAGUUGGUCUUUGGACCGCUUGAGAGGGGUUGAUUGCAACCCUCGUCCGUUGGGACGCCACAACGUGGAGUAGGCAAGUGUUGGUCUUGGCCGAACCACGGGAUAAACCACUGUGUCAUCUCUGUGUUUGAUCUCUUGUGGUAUUGUGUUUUGUUGAGACUCCUCUCUAGCCACUUGGCGAUUAUUGUGCUAACACUUAACAAGUUUUUGUGGCUAUAAGUUUAAGUUUCACAGGAUCACCUAUUCACCCCCCCUCUAGGUGCUCUCAAUUGGUAUCAGAGUCGUUCUCUUCACAAAGGGACUAACCGCCCGAAGAGAUGGAUCCUAAAGGGAAGGGAAUCGUGAUCAACGACAAGGAGAAGGAGUCCUUCGUCAACGAGCCAAGGGAUGACAAGUCCAACGACUCGGGCUCGGGCCACAAACGCAAAGAUGGGAAGAAGAAGAAGACAAGACGCAUCAAGGAGAUCGUCUACUACGACAGCGAUGAGUCUACUUCCUCCCAAAAGGACGACGACCACAACGAAUACGAGAGAAAGAAACCGGUCAAUUCGAACUUUUCUUUUGAUUACUCUCGUAUUCCUCAAAGUACUAAUGCUCAUUUAUUAUCUAUUCCACUUGGUAAACCUCCUCAUUUUGAUGGAGAGGACUACGGAUUUUGGAGUCACAAAAUGCGUAGUCACUUGUUCUCUCUCCAUCCUAGCAUAUGGGAGAUUGUAGAAAGUGGAAUGCACUUUGAUAGUACGGAUAGUCCCAUGUUUAUUAAUGAACAGAUUCAUAAAAAUGCACAAGCUACUACUGUGUUGCUAGCCUCUUUGUGCAGGGACGAGUACCAUAAGGUGAGCGGCUUGGACAAUGCCAAGCAGAUCUGGGACACCCUCAAGAUCUCUCAUGAGGGGAAUGAUGUCACCUUGCUCACCAAAAUGGAGUUGGUGGAGGGCGAGCUUGGACGGUUCGCGAUGAUAAGGGGCGAGGAGCCGACACAAACAUACAAUCGGCUCAAGACCCUCAUCAACAAAAUAAGGAGCUACGGGAGCACGCGAUGGACGGACCACGACGUCGUCCGCCUAAUGCUAAGGUCAUUUACCAUUCUUGAUCCUCAUUUGGUAAACAAUAUACGUGAAAAUCCCAGGUACACCAAGAUGUCGCCCGAAGAAGUUCUUGGGAAAUUCGUUAGCGGGCGAAUGAUGAUCAAGGAGGCGAGGUACGUGGACGACGCCUUGAAUGGUCCGAUCAACGAGCCGCAACCCCUUGCUCUCAAGGCAACACGAAGCAAGGAGGCGCUACCUAGCAAGGUGGCACAGAUUGAGGCGGCCGGACUUAAUGAUGAAGAGAUGGCUCUCAUCAUCAAAAGAUUCAAGACGGUGCUUAAAGGUCGCAAGGGACAGCCAAGCAAGACCAAAGCCAAGGGGAAGCGCUCAUGCUUCAAAUGCGGUAAGCUUGGUCAUUUUAUUGCUAACUGUCCCGACAAUGAUAGUGAUCAGGAUCAAGGGAACAAGAGGGAGAAAAAGAAGAACUAUAAGAAGGCAAAGGGCGAGGCUCAUCUUGGCAAGGAGUGGGAUUCAGACUGCUCUUCGUCCGACUCCGACAAUGAAGGACUCGCCGCCACCGCCUUCAACAAGUCAUCCCUCUUCCCCAACGAGCGACACACUUGCCUCGUGGCAAGGGAGAAGAAAGUAAGCACUCAUAAUACUAGUACUUAUGCUUCUUCAAGUGAGGAUGAGUCUAGUGAUGAUGAUGAGAUAGAUUACUCAUGCUUAUUCAAGGGAUUAGAUAGAACCAAGGUAGACAAAAUUAAUGAAUUGAUUGAUGCCUUGAAUGAUAGGAAUAUACUUUUAGAAAAGCAAGAGGAUUUGUUGUAUGAAGAACAUGAUAAAUUUGUAGAAGCUUAGAAAUCUCUUGCUCUAGAAAUUAAGAGAAAUGAAAUGCUCUCUAGUGAACUAUCUUCUUGUCAUGAAACUAUUGCUAAGUUAAAGAGUUUUAAUGAUGAUUUAAAUGCUAGACUAGAAGUAGCUAGUAAAUCUAAUUCUUGUGUAGAAAUUGUUGAAACUUGUAAUAGGUGUAAAGAUUUUGACAUUGAUGCUUGUAGUGAACACCUAGUUUCAAUUUCCAAACUUAAUGAUGAAUUGGCUAGUCUUAAUGCUCAACUUAAGACUAGCAAGAGUAAUUUUGAUAAGCUAAAAUUUGUAAGGGAUGCCUACACAAUUGGUAGACACCCCUCAAUUAAGGAUGGACUUGGCUACAAGAAGGAAGCCAAGAACUUGACAAGCCAUAAGGCUCCCAUCUCCGCCAAGGAGAAAGGGAAGGCCCCUAUGGCUAGUAGUGUGCAAAAGAACCAUGCCUUUAUGUACCAUGAUAGGAGACAAUCUAGAAAUGCUUAUAGGAGAUGUAACGCAUAUGAUGCUUUUGAUUCUCAUGACAUGUUUGCUUCUAGUUCUUCUUAUGUGCAUAAUAGAAAUGUUGGUAGGAGAAAUGUUGUUCAUAAUAUGCCUAGGAGAAAUGUUGUUAAUGUUCCUAGGAAAGUAAUGAAUGAACCCUCUACAAUUUAUCAUGCUUUAAAUGCUUCCUUUGCUAUUUGUAGAAAGGAUAGGAAAAUAGUUGCUAGGAAAGUUAGGGGCAAAAUGCAAGGGAGACAAAACUUGCAUUUGGGUCCCUAAGGAUAUUUGCACUAACCUUGUAGGACCCAACAUGAGUUGGGUACCUAAGACCUAAGCCUAAAUUUGCCUUGCAGGUUUAUGCAUCCGGGGGUUCAAGCUGGAUUAUCGACAGUGGAUGCACAAACCAUAUGACGGGGGAGAAGAAGAUGUUCACCUCCUACGUCAAGAAUAGGGAUUCCCAAGAUUCAAUUAUAUUCGGUGAUGGGAAUCAAGGCAAGGUAAAAGGGUUAGAUAAAAUUGCAAUUUCUAAUGAGCACUCUAUCUCCAAUGUGUUUUUAGUUGAGUCUCUUGGUUACAAUUUGCUAUCUGUUAGUCAACUAUGCAAUAUGGGAUAUAAUUGUCUUUUUACAAAUGUAGAUGUGUCUGUCUUUAGAAGAAGUGAUGGUUCACUAGCCUUUAAGGGUGUAUUAGACGGCAAGCUUUACUUAGUUGAUUUUGCAAAAGAAGAGGCCGGUCUAGAUGCAUGCUUAAUUGCUAAGACUAGCAUGGGCUGGCUGUGGCAUCGCCGCUUAGCACAUGUGGGGAUGAAGAAUCUUCACAAGCUUCUAAAGGGAGAACACGUGAUAGGUUUGACUAACGUACAAUUCGAAAAAGACAGACCUUGUGCAGCUUGUCAGGCAGGUAAACAGGUGGGAGGAGCGCAUCACAGCAAGAAUGUGAUGACCACAUCAAGACCCCUGGAGCUGCUACAUAUGGACCUCUUCGGACCUGUCGCCUAUCUAAGCAUAGGAGGAAGUAAGUAUGGUUUAGUUAUUGUUGAUGACUAUUCCCGCUUCACUUGGGUGUUCUUUUUGCAGGAUAAGUCUGAAACCCAAGGGACCCUCAAGCGCUUCCUCAGGAGAGCUCAAAAUGAGUUUGAGCUCAAGGUGAAGAAGAUAAGGAGCGACAACGGGUCCGAGUUCAAGAACCUUCAAGUGGAGGAGUUCCUUGAGGAGGAAGGGAUCAAGCACGAGUUCUCUGCUCCCUACACACCACAGCAAAAUGGUGUGGUAGAGAGGAAGAACAGGACGCUAAUCGAUAUGGCGAGGACGAUGCUUGGAGAAUUCAAGACCCCCGAGCGUUUUUGGUCGGAAGCCGUCAACACGGCUUGCCACGCCAUCAACAGGGUCUACCUUCACCGCCUCCUCAAGAAGACGUCGUAUGAGCUUCUAACCGGUAACAAACCCAAUGUAUCUUACUUUCGUGUAUUUGGGAGCAAAUGCUACAUUCUAGUGAAGAAGGGUAGAAAUUCUAAGUUUGCUCCCAAAGCCGUAGAAGGGUUUUUGUUAGGUUAUGACUCAAAUACAAAGGCGUAUAGAGUCUUCAACAAAUCAUUGGGAUUGGUUGAAGUCUCUAGCGACGUUGUAUUUGAUGAGACUAAUGGCUCUCCAAGAGAGCAAGCUGUUGAUCUUGAUGAUGUAGAUGAAGAAGAUGUUCCGACGGCCGCUAUACGAACCAUGGCGAUGGUGAUAUACGACCACAGGAACAAAAGGAGCAAGAUCAACCUUCUUCCUCAACUUUGAUGCAUUCCCCAACUCAAGACGAUGAACAGGUUCAUCAACGAGAGGCGUGUGAUCAAGGGGGAGCACAAGACGAUCAUGUGAUGGAGGAAGAAGCGCAACCGGCACCACCAACCCAAGUUCGAGCGAUGAUUCAAAGGGAUCAUCCCGUCGACCAAAUUCUGGGUGAUAUUGGCAAGGGAGUAACUACUCGAUCUCGAUUAGUUAAUUUUUGUGAGCAUUACUCCUUUGUCUCUUCUAUUGAGCCUUUCAGGGUAGAAGAGGCCUUGCUAGAUCCGGACUGGGUGUUAGCCAUGCAGGAGGAACUCAACAACUUCAAGCGCAAUGAAGUUUGGACACUGGUGCCUCGUCCCAAGCAAAACGUUGUGGGAACCAAGUGGGUAUUCCGCAACAAACAGGACGAGCACGGGGUGGUGACGAGGAACAAGGCUCGACUUGUGGCAAAAGGUUAUGCCCAAGUCGCAGGUUUGGACUUUGAGGAGACGUUUGCUCCUGUGGCUAGGCUAGAGUCAAUUCGUAUCUUGCUAGCAUAUGCCGCUCACCAUUCUUUCAGGUUGUUCCAAAUGGAUGUGAAGAGCGCUUUCCUCAACGGGCCAAUCAAGGAGGAGGUGUACGUGGAGCAACCCCCUGGCUUCGAGGAUGAACGGUACCCGGACCACGUGUGUAAGCUCUCUAAGGCGCUCUAUGGACUUAAGCAAGCCCCAAGAGCAUGGUAUGAAUGCCUUAGAGACUUUCUAAUUGUUAAUGCUUUCAAGGUUGGGAAAGCCGAUCCAACUCUUUUUACUAAGACAUGUGAUGGUGAUUUGUUUGUGUGCCAAAUUUAUGUCGAUGACAUAAUAUUUGGUUCUACUAACCAAAAGUCUUGUGAAGAGUUUAGCAGGGUGAUGACGCAGAAAUUCGAGAUGUCGAUGAUGGGCGAGUUGAACUACUUCCUUGGGUUCCAAGUGAAGCAACUCAAAGAUGGCACCUUCAUCUCCCAAACGAAGUACACGCAAGAUCUGCUAAAGCGGUUUGGGAUGAAGGACGCCAAGCCCGCAAAGACUCCGAUGGGGACCGACGGACACACCGACCUCAACAAAGGAGGUAAGUCCGUUGAUCAAAAAGCAUACCGGUCAUUGAUAGGGUCUUUACUUUAUUUAUGUGCUAGUAGACCGGAUAUUAUGCUUAGCGUAUGCAUGUGUGCUAGAUUUCAAUCCGAUCCUAAGGAGUGUCACUUAGUGGCGGUGAAGCGAAUUCUUAGAUAUUUGGUUGCUACGCCCUGCUUCGGGCUCUGGUAUCCAAAGGGGUCUACCUUUGACUUGGUUGGAUACUCAGAUUCCGACUAUGCUGGAUGUAAGGUCGAUAGGAAGAGUACAUCAGGGACGUGCCAAUUCUUAGGAAGGUCCCUGGUGUCGUGGAACUCUAAGAAACAAACCUCCGUUGCCCUAUCCACCGCUGAGGCCGAGUAUGUUGCCGCAGGACAGUGUUGCGCGCAGCUACUUUGGAUGAGGCAAACCCUUUGGGACUUUGGCUACAAUCUGAGCAAAGUCCCACUCCUAUGUGACAAUGAGAGUGCUAUCCGCAUGGCGGAAAAUCCUGUUGAACACAGCCGCACAAAGCACAUUGACAUCCAGCAUCACUUUUUGAGACCACCAGCAAAAGGGAGAUAUCGAAGUGUUUCAUGUUAGCACCGAGAACCAGCUAGCCGAUAUCUUUACCAAGCCUCUAGAUGAGAAGACCUUUUGCAGGCUGCGUAGUGAGCUAAAUGUCUUAGAUUCGCGGAACUUGGAUUGAAUUGUAGCAUACAUGUAUUUAUGCUCUUGAUCAUGUUACUUUUUGCAUUUUGUUGUUUAGUAUGGUGCUCAAGUUGUACAAACACUCCCUGGACCUCACAAGUCCGUUGCAAAGUGAUGCACAGUUUUAGGGGGAGAUGUGUUACAACUUGACCCUUUGAGACUAACCAUAUGCUUGAGUUUGCGUGUUUUAGUCUCGAAGGAGAAUUAAAAGGGACAAGGUGGACUUGGACCAUGUAAGACUUCCACUGCACUCCGAUGAAAAGAGUAACUUUUCCAAGUUCAUCUUUUAACUCUUAUUGCCUUUGUACUCUUAUUUGAAGAUGUUGGUGAGGCAAUGGGGUUAAAGGGCCAAGAUUGAUCCCGUUUUGGUGUUUGAUGCCAAAGGGGGAGAAAAUAAAGGCCAAAGCGAUAAAUGGAUCAGCUACCACUUGAGAUAUUUUGAAAAUAGUAGAAUAGAGCGAUCAGCUACCACUUGAGAUAUUUUGAAAAUAGUAGAAUAGAGCUUUUUGUUUGUCAAAACUCUUUUAUUGUCUAUCGUGUCAAAAGUUGGCUUCUUGUGGGGAGAAAUGCUGAUUAUGGGAAAAAGGGGGAGUUUUUGGAAUCUUGAAUCAAAUACUCUUGAAAUGACUCUCUUUAUGCCUUAACAUGUGUGUUUGACUUAGAGAUAGAAAUUUGAGUUUUGAUUUGCAAAAACAAACCAAGUGGUGGCAAAGGAUGAUCCAUAUAUGCCAAAAUUGAACCAAAACAAUUUUGAGUUCUUGUUUGAAAUGUUUUUGUAUUUGUUCUACUUGCUUUAUGUUGUGUUGGCAUAAAUCACCAAAAAGGGGGAGAUUGAAAGGGAAAUGUGCCCUUGGGCCAUUUCUAAGUAUUUUGGUGAUUUAGUGUCCAAUACAAGUGCUUAAGUGUAAAAUGGUGGACAAAGUACAAAUCAAGAAUAAAGGUAUGUUUCUCAGACUUAGUAUAUUGUUUAUGGACUAAUAUAUUGUGUCUAAGUGCUGGAAACAGAAAAAAUCGAAUUGGAAUUGUCUUGGCUCGAGCAGCCAAGACUCUGCUGAGUCUGGGAGCACCGGACUGUCCGGUGGUGCACCGGACAGUGUCCGGUGCGCCAGGCUGGCUCGAGCGAAGUGGCCGCUCUCGGGAAUUCGCCGACGACGUACGGCUAUAAUUCACCGGACUGUUCGGUGUGCACCGGACUGUCCGGUGAGCCAACGGUCGGCCGGGCCAACGGUAGGCCGCGAGAUCUACGCGGGACACGUGGCCGAGCCAACGGCUAGAAUGGGGCACCGGACUGUCCGGUGUGCACCGGACAUGUUCGGUGCGCCAACGGCUCUCUGGCGGCCAACGGUCGGCUGCACCGUUCAAGGAAAGAAAUCGGGCACCGGACAGUGUCCGGUGUGCACCGGACUGUCCGGUGCACCAGUCGACAGAAGGCAAGAUCAGCCUUCCAGAUUUGCUCUCAACGGCUCCUAGCUGCCUUGGGGCUAUAAAAGGGACCCCUAGGCGCAUGGAGGAGUAUAUCAAGCAUUCCUACAACAUUCCUAAGCACCAAGACAUCGAUUCCACGCAUUUGGUUCAUUGUGAUAGCAUCUAGAGCUCUUGUUGAGUUGUGAACUCAUUGAGUGGUGUUACGAGCUCUUGUUGCGACUUGUGUGCGUGCUGUUGCUCUGAUUUUGAGUCUUGUGUGUGUUGCUAGUUUCUCCCUUACUCCGUAUUUCUUUGUGAAUCUUAAGUGUAAGGGCGAGAGGCUCCAAGUUGUGGAGAUUCCUCGCAAACGGGAUAUUGAAAGGCAAAGCAAAACACCGUGGUAUUCAAGUUGGUCUUUGGACUGCUUGAGAGGGGUUGAUUGCAACCCUCGUCCGUUGGGACGCCACAACGUGGAGUAGGCAAGUGUUGGUCUUGGCCGAACCACGGGAUAAACCACUGUGUCAUCUCUGUGUUUGAUCUCUUGUGGUAUUGUGUUUUGUUGAGACUCCUCUCUAGCCACUUGGCGAUUAUUGUGCUAACACUUAACAAGUUUUUGUGGCUAUAAGUUUAAGUUUCACAGGAUCACCUAUUCACCCCCCCUCUAGGUGCUCUCAAAAGCCCCCAACAUAACCUAUGCAAGUUAGCAAAUAUCAACACGUUAAAUACAAAUAUCAAAAAGUAUACAAGUGUAUAAAUUCAUCGAGGUACCUUUUCUUUCGAGCAAAUACAUUGUGUUCACAAGCUGACUAUUGUCUGAAAAAUCGAAAGAUCACUACACGGAAGCAUCUCUCGUUCAUCAUCAUGGUACCUUUUCUUUCGAGCAAAUACAUUAUGUUCUUCUGCAAAGUAACAACUUGUGAAGUGUGCUACCUCCUUUAGUUUAAAUUGUUCCGCAAUACAUCCUUCAACUCUUGAUUUAUUGCCCACCAUUGCUCUAAGCUUCUUUAAUGCUCUUUCUAUAUAGAGAUGGCAAUGGGUACCCGAAACCCGAAUACCCGACGGGUUUUACCCGAUAUGAAGGCGGGUACGAGAUGAUUUCUCUACCCGCGGGUACGUUAAUGGGUAAAAACCUUUACCCAUUGGGUAGACGGGUACGAGUAUGGGUUGGUACUACCCAUACCCGUCUACCCGUGGGUAAAAUAUACCCGCAUCAAUAGCACUAUAAACAUCUAAUAGAGUCCAACUUAACUAGAAUAAAACCCUUCUCUAGUUAUCAUUUGUCUAGAUACCAAGUUAUGUAAUCAUAUGAGUUGUUAUAUGUGAAAUUGAAGUUGUUUUUAUAUGUUUAUUUAAUAUUUUGAGUGAUUCGUAUAUUGGAAUUCAAUUCUUUCCUAGCGGGUACGGGUUACCCAACGGGUAAAAAUACCCGCGCGGGUACGGGUAUGGGUAAGAUUUUAUGCCCGCGAGUAUAUAUGGGUAACCCGAUGGGUAAAAUUUUUUUUGAUGGGUACGGGUAUGGAAUGGUACUACCCGACGGGUAUGUACCCAUUGCCAUCCCUAUUUCUAUAUGAAACAUCCACCUGUAUUGAACAGGACCACCGACCUUAGCCUCAUAUGGAAGAUGUAUAAAGAGAUGCCACAUAGGAUUGAAGAAACCCGGUGGAAAUAUUUUUUCCAAUUUGCACAAAAGCACCGGUGCCUCUUUCUCUAGCUGUUCCAUCACAUCUCUUUUGAUUUCUUUAGCACACAACUGUCUAUAGAAAUAGCUAACUUCAGCUAACGUUUUCCACAUAGCUUCGGAAAUGUACCCACGAAACAUUAGAGGCAUGAGCCUUUCCAUAAUUAUGUGGAAGUCAUGGCUCUUCAGUCCAUUCAUCUUCAUUGUCUUCAAGUUCAUAGAUCUUCUAAAACCAGCAGCAUAACCAUCGAGGAAUUUAAUAUCUAUAGGUAAGUAGUAAAACUAUAUAUAUACAUAAAUAACUAUAUAUAUAUACAUAAAUAACAUUAAAUUUAUCAAUAUUGAAACCUUCAUACAACCUAAUAUUAUAAGUUAAAUCUAAUCAAUAAAUAACAUCAAAUUUAACAAUUUAAUAGCAUAAGUUAAAUCUAUUAUAAUAAUAGAAUUAAUACUUAUACCUAACAUCAAGGCACACAUGUGAUAUUAAACUAACUCUAAUCACACUCUAAUCAUAUGUGAUAUUAAACUAACUCUAAUCACACCCUAAACUAACUCUAAUCACAUAAAAGUUAACUCCCGUCGGCCAUAAAAAACCAACGAAAAUAAACAUUUAUACACAUAUUUAACAAUUACACUCGCAUUUACAUUCAAUAAUUCAAAAAUUUAUAUACCUCAACAGUGCGGGGCGGCGGCGCUCGGGGAGGCGGUUGGGGGCGGCGACGUUGGGGGCGAGCCAGGCAGCGCUACGGGGCGGUGGCUUUUGGGGCGCUCCGGGACACGGCGCUGGGGGCGAGCCGGGCACGCUCCGGGGCGGUGGCAUUGGGAGCGACGGGCGGCAGGUGGCGCGUUGGAGGCGACGACGUUGGGGGCGGCGGGGGGGGGGGGGUCGGCGCGGGGGGCGCUGGAGGCCGGUGGUCGGCGAUGGGCGGCGGUCGACGAUGGGCGCGGUGACGACAUCGGUUUAGAGAGAGAGAGAGAGGAGAAUGAGCCGCGCGGGUUGUCCGCCGGCCUUCCAUAAAGCAAUAAUCCCCGUCGAUUGGCGUCAGGGCCAACAGGAGUUAACUUAAGGCCCGUCGGCUGGCGUCUGGGCCGACGGGAGUUAGCUAAUUCCUGUCGGCUAGCGCCAGGGCCGACGAGAGUUAACUUAAGGCCCAUCGGCUGCUUUAUAGCCGACGAGAGUUAACUAAUUCACGUCGGCCUUUGCUCGGGCCGACGGGAAUCUUCAGUAUUCCUGUAGUGGAUGUUGCUCCGAAGCUACGCGCAAGGGAGCUACGACUCAAUGGCGGAAAAAGGAACCGACUUAAAGGGGAAAAUGCCAUCUAGUCCCCGUUGGGUUGUCCAUAAGUCAAUAGUAAAUAUGAAGGGCAUGAAUGUAAAUUUACAUAGGCUACGCCCUGUGCCUAUAAAUAGAUGAACAUUCACGCUGACUUGUAGUGGCUUGUGCGUCACGAUUGUACUUUUACCUUCUGUCAAGCCGAAGGUAGGAAUGUAAUCCUGUGUUGUUCUUAUUCAUUCAUGAUUAUAUAAUAAAAGAUAUAUUAUGAUAGCAUAUGAUUAUCCAUGUUGUUUCCCAUGUUUCAUAUGCUUUAUCUUUCAUUGAUAUAUGUUGUGAUGAUGAAGGUAAUAAGUCCUUCAUAACCUUCGUCCGAAGAUCGUUACAUCCUUAGGGGAAUAAUGCUUCGAAGGACGAAGGACAUUAACCAUUAACCUAUUUUUGUGUUGGCUUGUUCUUAAUUCAUAGCAUUUGAGAACAAAUCCCCAACAAAUAAUAGUGCAUGAUCAUAGUCCGUGUGUAUCAUUAAUCCCAAAACCAAGUAGAGCAAUAACAAUUCUACCCAAUAAUUCAUUUAUAAGCAAGACAUACGGUAAACAAGACUACAUAAUCUAUUAGGUCCCAUCAAUUUAACCUAACAUUGAGUGCAUGGAGAGAACAUUAAUAUUGUUAGGUCAAGAAUGUGAUCAAGGACACACUUGUCUUUUUUGGUACAACUCCAGAUACUUAUCCACUUAGGGUUUAGGUUCCUCGUAACCUCACUUUUCUAUUCGCAACAAAGCAUACAAAUAGGCAAAUAAUAAAUAAAAAUAACUUUACACCAAACAUGGAAACAAAUUACAUAAUAUUAUUCUAUGUGUCAAGAUGAAUCCAUAUAUUCAAAAACCACUGAAAUCGGAGUUAAAACAAGAGAGUUAUGAAUUAACUAAGUUCCUAGAACUAUUUUUAUAAUUAAAAUCGAUUUCGAAAUUAAUUUUAUAAUUAUCAAAAAACUCUAGAGUGCGGGUACUAAAACCAAAGAUUGUAGGGUUGUUUUUAUAAAUUAUAAAGUUCUUUCUAUAGCUGCGGACUGUAGGUUAUUUAUAAACAUGACAGACACUCUUUAGCAAAUCUGGCUCAGCCGAAGGGGUAUCAUCGAAGCUAAGACGUACGAUCCCCAUCUGGAGGUCCAGAUUAGAUCGAUCUUGCGGCUUUUGAGGUGCGUGCACCAGAACCGCACAUAUCAAGGUCAACGGUCAGCACUUAAUGAAGCGAAGGGGUAUUCCUAGCUUCUAAUCCUAUCCCUCCAUCUGAGAACCAAUGGCUAGGGCUCCCCGCUGUUGUCGACGGCGAGGGGAGUAGAGCUCAUGCGCCCUCCGCAGUGGCGCCUUGUCGGAGUGCAUUGAACCCAGCAUUCCGGUGCUCCCAACUCCUCUCUAUAGCUGCUACACAAGGCAGAGAUCAUAGCGAAUAUGUUUAGGGGAAACUCACCAGCGAUUAAAGGCGCCGAUGAAGCUGUCCACACACCAUAGCGGACCUACGACGGAGAGAUGGCUUCGGCGAGCAAUUCGCCGAGCACCGAGGAUCCUCCCUGCCUGAAGAGUGAAGACACCACAACGAGCUUCGACUCAUGCUGGCGAUUUCCCCCGACUUCAUCUUGGAGUCCGAGCGACAUCGCAUGCACGGGGCGACGACGACAGCCUCUUCUCUCGCUCCGGCACGGCUCUCCCUCUUUCUUAGUUUGGUGACCUCGUCACUUUGGUUUGGG
This 13143-nucleotide long non-coding RNA is filed under the name Zea mays. RNAcentral describes it as "long non-coding RNA (ZMAY_LNC002719)". The record is from RNAcentral. Lineage: Eukaryota; Viridiplantae; Streptophyta; Magnoliopsida; Poales; Poaceae.